UUGAUUUAUUCAAUAUUGACUCGGACGCAACGAUGCAGGGUUGAGCGGUCCACCGGGGGCCCGGCCGGGUCGCCCCCGAGGCAACUGGGUCGGAUAACAUGGGGUUGGAGGUCGGGCCCGGAAGCCCUUGCUCGGUAAUGAUCCCUCCGCAGGUUCACCUACGGAGA
Molecule: unclassified non-coding RNA, 167 nt
Filed under: uncultured fungus
Lineage: Eukaryota; Fungi
Description: sequence contains ITS1
Source: RNAcentral